RNAcentral lists this long non-coding RNA (421 nucleotides) under Athene cunicularia (burrowing owl). Its description in RNAcentral is "lncRNA (ENSACUG00000011561.1)". Lineage: Eukaryota; Metazoa; Chordata; Aves; Strigiformes; Strigidae. The record is from RNAcentral.
AACAGAUGGUUAUGUGUCUGUGAUUCACUGUCACAGUUCAGGUUAGAGCAGCCUGAAGGAUGGUUUAAUAUCUGUGCACAGGGUACAAUGACUAAGGGAUCGUAAGUAGCAGGGAAGACAGCAGGAAAACAGCAUGUUUGAAUGAUUUCCCGUUUUCACUUUCAAUGGGACUUCAGAGGCAAUUCCAAGAGAGACCUAAGCACUGCAAUGAUUUUGAAGCCAUAUGAAGUGAAAAAGCAUACUCAACACCUUUAGAUAUCUUCCUUGAGACCGCAGAGUGACUGUGAAAACUGACCAACAGCAGCAGUUUUCUAAAUAUCACUGGUCUUCUGACAAGUAAGUUCUUCAUUCUGAGUUUUGUUUUCUUCUCUGUAUUCCUGACUAGUAUUUUAUCCUUGUAUUUAUUAUACAGACAACCAUA